UGGGGAAUCUUCCGCAAUGGGCGAAAGCCUGACGGAGCAACGCCGCGUGAGUGAAGACGGCCUUCGGGUUGUAAAGCUCUGUUAUAUGGGACGAACGGGCGUAUGGUCAAUACCCAUACGCCGUGACGGUACCGUAAGAGAAAGCCACGGCUAACUACGUGCCAGCAGCCGCGGUAAUACGUAGGUGGCAAGCGUUGUCCGGAAUCAUUGGGCGUAAAGGGCGCGCAGGCGGUUCGGUAAGUCGGUCUUAAAAGUGCGGGGCUUAACCCCGUGAUGGGAUUGAAACUGCCGGACUGGAGUGUCGGAGAGGAAAGCAGAAUUCCUAGUGUAGCGGUGAAAUGCGUAGAUAUUAGGAGGAAUACCAGUGGCGAAAGCGGCUUUCUGGACGACAACUGACGCUGAGGCGCGAAAGCCAGGGGAGCAAACGGG
RNAcentral lists this ribosomal RNA (429 nucleotides) under uncultured bacterium. RNAcentral's name for it is "bacterial SSU rRNA". It matches the Rfam family "Bacterial small subunit ribosomal RNA", at positions 355 to 776 of the family's 1533-position model. The record is from RNAcentral.